GUUGGCACCUCGAUGUUGGCUUAUGGAAUCUAAGAUACGCAAAAGUAUUUCAAGAUGGUUUGUUCAACCAAUAACCCCCUACAUGAGCUGAGUUCAGACCGGCGAGAGCCAGGUUAGUUUCUAUCCUUGAUAAAAAACAAUGGUUGUAGUACGAAAGGACCCAACCAAUAUAAUAAAUUAUUUCACAAACAAAUUCUCCCAGAUAAAUACUAUAUU
This 216-nucleotide ribosomal RNA is filed under the name Atatina sp. MPL-2014. RNAcentral's name for it is "partial 16S ribosomal RNA". The stretch from base 1 to 126 matches the Rfam family "Bacterial large subunit ribosomal RNA", at positions 2517 to 2643 of the family's 2925-position model. The record is from RNAcentral. Lineage: Eukaryota; Metazoa; Annelida; Clitellata; Crassiclitellata; Glossoscolecidae.